UUUUGAGGAUGAUGAAAAUCCAUGAAACAGUUAUCCCUGUCUGAAUAAUAAUGUUGACAGGUUAUCUUUGACUCAAUC
Non-coding RNA from Picea glauca (white spruce), 78 nucleotides. The record is from Rfam. Lineage: Eukaryota; Viridiplantae; Streptophyta; Pinopsida; Pinales; Pinaceae.